RNAcentral lists this transfer RNA (70 nucleotides) under Marmota monax (woodchuck). Its description in RNAcentral is "tRNA.Ala". Lineage: Eukaryota; Metazoa; Chordata; Mammalia; Rodentia; Sciuridae. The record is from RNAcentral.
GAGUUGGAGCUCAGUGGUAGAGCACUUGCUUAGCACAUGUGAGGCACUGAGUUCAAUCCUCAGCAUCACA